ACUACGGGGGGCAGCAGUGGGGAAUAUUGCACAAUGGGGGAAACCCUGAUGCAGCGACGCCGCGUGAGUGAAGAAGUAAUUCGUUACGUAAAGCUCUAUCAGCAGGGAAGAAACACUGACCUUACGGUCAGCAGACGGUACCUGAGUAAGAAGCCCCGGCUAACUACGUGCCAGCAGCCGCGGUAAUACGUAGGGGGCAAGCGUUAUCCGGAUUUACUGGGUGUAAAGGGAGCGUAGGCGGUGCGACAAGUCUGGAGUGAAAUGCCGCAGCUUAACUGCGGAACUGCGUUGUAAACUGGCGAACUAGAGUGCGGGAGGGGUAAGCGGAAUUCCUAGUGUAGCGGUGAAAGGCGUAGAUAUUAGGAGGAACACCGGUGGCGAAGGCGGCUUACUGGACCGUAACUGACGUUGAGGCUCGAAAGCGUGGGGAGCAAACAGGAGUAGAUACCCUAGUAGUC
This 458-nucleotide ribosomal RNA is filed under the name uncultured bacterium. RNAcentral's name for it is "partial 16S ribosomal RNA". It matches the Rfam family "Bacterial small subunit ribosomal RNA", at positions 338 to 795 of the family's 1533-position model. The record is from RNAcentral.